This 497-nucleotide ribosomal RNA is filed under the name uncultured bacterium. RNAcentral describes it as "partial 16S ribosomal RNA". It matches the Rfam family "Bacterial small subunit ribosomal RNA", at positions 28 to 507 of the family's 1533-position model. The record is from RNAcentral.
GAUGAACGCUGGCGGCGUGCCUAAUACAUGCAAGUCGAGCGAACGGACGAGAAGCUUGCUUCUCUGAUGUUAGCGGCGGACGGGUGAGUAACACGUGGAUAACCUACCUAUAAGACUGGGGUAACUUCGGGAAACCGGAGCUAAUACCGGAUGAUAUUUUGAACCGCAUGGUUCAAAAGUGAAAGACGGUCUUGCUGUCGCUUAUAGAUGGAUCCGCGCUGCAUUAGCUAGUUGGUAAGGUAACGGCUUACCAAGGCAACGAUGCAUAGCCGACCUGAGAGGGUGAUCGGCCACACUGGAACUGAGACACGGUCCAGACUCCUACGGGAGGCAGCAGUAGGGAAUCUUCCGCAAUGGGCGAAAGCCUGACGGAGCAACGCCGCGUGAGUGAUGAAGGUCUUCGGAUCGUAAAACUCUGUUAUUAGGGAAGAACAUAUGUGUAAGUAACUGUGCACAUCUUGACGGUACCUAAUCAGAAAGCCACGGCUAACUACGUG